GAUGAACGCUGGCGGCGUGCCUAAUACAUGCAAGUAGAACGCUGAAGCUUGGUGCUUGCACCGAGCGGAUGAGUUGCGAACGGGUGAGUAACGCGUAGGUAACCUGCCUGGUAGCGGGGGAUAACUAUUGGAAACGAUAGCUAAUACCGCAUAACAGUAGAUAUUGCAUGAUAUCUGCUUGAAAGGUGCAAAUGCAUCACUACCAGAUGGACCUGCGUUGUAUUAGCUAGUUGGUGAGGUAACGGCUCACCAAGGCGACGAUACAUAGCCGACCUGAGAGGGUGAUCGGCCACACUGGGACUGAGACACGGCCCAGACUCCUACGGGAGGCAGCAGUAGGGAAUCUUCGGCAAUAGGGGGAACCCUGACCGAGCAACGCCGCGUGAGUGAAGAAGGUUUUCGGAUCGUAAAGCUCUGUUGUAAGAGAAGAACGAGUGUGAGAGUGGAAAGUUCACACUGUGACGGUAUCUUACCAGAAAGGGACGGCUAACUACGUG
RNAcentral lists this ribosomal RNA (497 nucleotides) under uncultured bacterium. RNAcentral's name for it is "partial 16S ribosomal RNA". It matches the Rfam family "Bacterial small subunit ribosomal RNA", at positions 28 to 507 of the family's 1533-position model. The record is from RNAcentral.